Molecule: long non-coding RNA, 634 nt
Organism: Armigeres subalbatus
Lineage: Eukaryota; Metazoa; Arthropoda; Insecta; Diptera; Culicidae
Exons: 2
Source: RefSeq, a predicted model, not a curated record
AUCAAACCAGUAAUAAAGUCUGCGCACGCAGCCAAACUUUGUGUAUCAUACACAUGCGUGUAAAUGUAGUUGUGAUAAAGUCGAAACAAAACAGAAAGCAGCUGACUGAAAACUCAGUUCGGUCUCGGUUGUUAAUAGAUUUUUCAGUAGAUUCGACUACUUUAAUCAAUAGCGAUCUCUAGUAAUAUUUAAAUUACUUUGAUACGGAUUUCCUAUUUAAAACAUCCGCUCUGCCUCGAUGCAUGUACCCAGCAGGUCCAGGUCAACCAGGAAUUGUAAACGAAAUUACAAGUCAAACCGCAGGGUUCUUUCAAGCCGGACUGAAUCGUGCAUAAAUCUAGUAAGUUUAUAUGAAAACAUGAUCUGGAGGAUGAAGCUAGGAUGUUCGACUGGCCAAUCGUCAAAAUUUUGGAUUUCAACCGUUUUAAACAGAAAUCUAAAGAGAAAUAUGAAAAAUUGAUAAAUAGGAGACAAGACAACGGCGCUUCGUGUUGAAAAAGAGCUAGAAAAAUACCGUUGAAUACGGUAAUAAGUUGCUAAGAUGAUUAUUAACGUUUAUUGUGAAAUACAAAAUAAAUAUUCUAAAUAACAUUAAUGGUAUAAAUAGUUCCUGUUAUAUUGUUCGAGUUUGUAA